UACGUAGGGUGCGAGCGUUAAUCGGAAUUACUGGGCGUAAAGCGUGCGCAGGCGGUUUUGUAAGCCCGAUGUGAAAUCCCCGGGCUCAACCUGGGAAUGGCAUUUGGGACUGCAAGGCUGGAGUUUGGCAGAGGAGACUGGAAUUCCCGGUGUAGCAGUGAAAUGCGUAGAUAUCGGGAGGAAUACCGAUGGCGAAGGCAGGUCUCUGGGCUAUAACUGACGCUCAUGCACGAAAGCGUGGGGAGCAAACAGG
RNAcentral lists this ribosomal RNA (253 nucleotides) under uncultured bacterium. RNAcentral describes it as "partial 16S ribosomal RNA". It matches the Rfam family "Bacterial small subunit ribosomal RNA", at positions 524 to 776 of the family's 1533-position model. The record is from RNAcentral.